Molecule: ribosomal RNA, 2934 nt
Filed under: Streptomyces orinoci
Lineage: Bacteria; Bacillati; Actinomycetota; Actinomycetes; Kitasatosporales; Streptomycetaceae
Description: bacterial LSU rRNA
Rfam family: Bacterial large subunit ribosomal RNA
Source: RNAcentral
AAGUAAGUGGAGCAUCUCAGUACCCGCAGGAAGAGAAAACAACCGUGAUUCCGGGAGUAGUGGCGAGCGAAACCGGAUGAGGCCAAACCGUAUGCGUGUGAUACCCGGCAGGGGUUGCGUAUGCGGGGUUGUGGGAUCGCACUUUCAUGGUCUGCCGGCCAUGAGGCGAGUCAGAAACCGUUGAUGUAGGCGAAGGGCAUGCGAAAGGCCCGGCGUAGAGGGUAAGACCCCCGUAGCUGAAACAUCAGCGGCUUGCUUGUGCGACACCCAAGUAGCACGGGGCCCGAGAAAUCCCGUGUGAAUCUGGCGGGACCACCCGUUAAGCCUAAAUAUUCCCUGGUGACCGAUAGCGGAUAGUACCGUGAGGGAAUGGUGAAAAGUACCGCGGGAGCGGAGUGAAAUAGUACCUGAAACCGUGUGCCUACAAGCCGUGGGAGCGUCGCCGUCAAGCUUGCUUGGCGGUCGUGACUGCGUGCCUUUUGAAGAAUGAGCCUGCGAGUUUGCGGUGUGUUGCGAGGUUAACCCGUGUGGGGAAGCCGUAGCGAAAGCGAGUCCGAAUAGGGCGAUUGAGUAGCGCGCCCAAGACCCGAAGCGGAGUGAUCUAGCCAUGGGCAGGUUGAAGCGGCUGUAAGAGGUCGUGGAGGACCGAACCCACCAGGGUUGAAAACCUGGGGGAUGACCUGUGGUUAGGGGUGAAAGGCCAAUCAAACUCCGUGAUAGCUGGUUCUCCCCGAAAUGCAUUUAGGUGCAGCGUCGUGUGUUUCUUGCCGGAGGUAGAGCACUGGAUAGGCGAUGGGCCCUACCGGGUUACUGACCUUAGCCAAACUCCGAAUGCCGGUAAGUGAGAGCGCGGCAGUGAGACUGUGGGGGAUAAGCUCCAUGGUCGAGAGGGAAACAGCCCAGAGCAUCGACUAAGGCCCCUAAGCGUACGCUAAGUGGGAAAGGAUGUGGAGUCGCAGAGACAACCAGGAGGUUGGCUUAGAAGCAGCCACCCUUGAAAGAGUGCGUAAUAGCUCACUGGUCAAGUGAUUCCGCGCCGACAAUGUAGCGGGGCUCAAGCGUACCGCCGAAGUCGUGUCAUUGCAGCAUGUACAUCUAACGGUGGCUGUGAUGGGUAGGGGAGCGUCGUGUGCCGGGUGAAGCAGCGCCGGAAGGUAGUUGUGGACGGUUCACGAGUGAGAAUGCAGGCAUGAGUAGCGAUACAAGAGUGGGAAACUCUUGCGCCGAUUGACUAAGGGUUCCUGGGUCAAGCUGAUCUGCCCAGGGUAAGUCGGGACCUAAGGCGAGGCCGACAGGCGUAGUCGAUGGACAACCGGUUGAUAUUCCGGUACCCGCUUUGAAGCGCCAGCGCUGAACCAGGCGAUGCUAAGUCCGUGAAGCCGCCCUGAUCUCUUCGGAGUUGAGGGGAGUGGUGGAGCCGACGGACCAGACCUGUAGUAGGUGAGCGAUGGGGUGACGCAGGAAGGUAGUCCAGCCCGGGCGGUGGUUGUCCCGGGGUAAGGGUGUAGGACGUCACGUAGGCAAAUCCGCGUGACACAUAGUCUGAGACCUGAUGCCGAGCCGAUUGUGGUGAAGUGGAUGAUCCUAUGCUGUCGAGAAAAGCCUCUAGCGAGUUUCAUGGCGGCCCGUACCCUAAACCGACUCAGGUGGUCAGGUAGAGAAUACCGAGGCGUUCGGGUGAACUAUGGUUAAGGAACUCGGCAAAAUGCCCCCGUAACUUCGGGAGAAGGGGGGCCAUGUCCGGUGAUGAGACACGCUCUCUGAGCUGGGUGUGGCCGCAGAGACCAGCGAGAAGCGACUGUUUACUAAAAACACAGGUCCGUGCGAAGCCGUAAGGCGAUGUAUACGGACUGACGCCUGCCCGGUGCUGGAACGUUAAGGGGACCGGUUAGCUCCAUUUCGGUGGGGCGAAGCUGAGAACUUAAGCGCCAGUAAACGGCGGUGGUAACUAUAACCAUCCUAAGGUAGCGAAAUUCCUUGUCGGGUAAGUUCCGACCUGCACGAAUGGCGUAACGACUUCUCGACUGUCUCAACCAUAGGCCCGGUGAAAUUGCACUACGAGUAAAGAUGCUCGUUUCGCGCAGCAGGACGGAAAGACCCCGGGACCUUUACUAUAGCUUGAUAUUGGUGUUCGGUUCGGCUUGUGUAGGAUAGGUGGGAGACUGUGAAGCAUGCACGCCAGUGUGUGUGGAGUCGUCGUUGAAAUACCACUCUGGUCGUGCUGGAUGUCUAACCUGGGUCCGUGAUCCGGAUCAGGGACAGUGUCUGGUGGGUAGUUUAACUGGGGCGGUUGCCUCCUAAAGGGUAACGGAGGCGCCCAAAGGUUCCCUCAGCCUGGUUGGUAAUCAGGUGUUGAGUGUAAGUGCACAAGGGAGCUUGACUGUGAGACCGACGGGUCGAGCAGGGACGAAAGUCGGGACUAGUGAUCCGGCGGUGGCUUGUGGAAGCGCCGUCGCUCAACGGAUAAAAGGUACCCCGGGGAUAACAGGCUGAUCUUCCCCAAGAGUCCAUAUCGACGGGAUGGUUUGGCACCUCGAUGUCGGCUCGUCGCAUCCUGGGGCUGGAGUCGGUCCCAAGGGUUGGGCUGUUCGCCCAUUAAAGCGGUACGCGAGCUGGGUUUAGAACGUCGUGAGACAGUUCGGUCCCUAUCCGCUGUGCGCGUAGGAGUCUUGAGAAGGGCUGUCCCUAGUACGAGAGGACCGGGACGGACGAACCUCUGGUGUGCCAGUUGUCCUGCCAAGGGCAUGGCUGGUUGGCUACGUUCGGGAGGGAUAACCGCUGAAAGCAUCUAAGCGGGAAGCCUGCUUCGAGAUGAGGGCUCCCACCCACUUGAUGGGGUAAGGCUCCCAGUAGACGACUGGGUUGAUAGGCCAGGUGUGGAAGACCGGUAACGGUUGGAGCUGACUGGUACUAAUAGGCCGAGGGCUUGUCCUC